GGGUUGUGAGGUUAAGCGACUAAGCGUACACGGUGGAUGCCCUGGCAGUCAGAGGCGAUGAAGGACGUGCUAAUCUGCGAUAAGCGUCGGUAAGGUGAUAUGAACCGUUAUAACCGGCGAUUUCCGAAUGGGGAAACCCAGUGUGAUUCGUCACACUAUCAUUAACUGAAUCCAUAGGUUAAUGAGGCGAACCGGGGGAACUGAAACAUCUAAGUACCCCGAGGAAAAGAAAUCAACCGAGAUUCCCCCAGUAGCGGCGAGCGAACGGGGAGGAGCCCAGAGCCUGAAUCAGUGUGUGUGUUAGUGGAAGCGUCUGGAAAGGCGCGCGAUACAGGGUGACAGCCCCGUACACAAAAAUGCACAUGCUGUGAGCUCGAUGAGUAGGGCGGGACACGUGGUAUCCUGUCUGAAUAUGGGGGGACCAUCCUCCAAGGCUAAAUACUCCUGACUGACCGAUAGUGAACCAGUACCGUGAGGGAAAGGCGAAAAGAACCCCGGCGAGGGGAGUGAAAAAGAACCUGAAACCGUGUACGUACAAGCAGUGGGAGCCUCUUUAUGGGGUGACUGCGUACCUUUUGUAUAAUGGGUCAGCGACUUAUAUUCUGUAGCAAGGUUAACCGAAUAGGGGAGCCGAAGGGAAACCGAGUCUUAACUGGGCGUUAAGUUGCAGGGUAUAGACCCGAAACCCGGUGAUCUAGCCAUGGGCAGGUUGAAGGUUGGGUAACACUAACUGGAGGACCGAACCGACUAAUGUUGAAAAAUUAGCGGAUGACUUGUGGCUGGGGGUGAAAGGCCAAUCAAACCGGGAGAUAGCUGGUUCUCCCGAAAGCUAUUUAGGUAGCGCCUCGUGAAUUCAUCUCCGGGGGUAGAGCACUGUUUCGGCAAGGGGGUCAUCCCGACUUACCAACCCGAUGCAAACUGCGAAUACCGGAGAAUGUUAUCACGGGAGACACACGGCGGGUGCUAACGUCCGUCGUGAAGAGGGAAACAACCCAGACCGCCAGCUAAGGUCCCAAAGUCAUGGUUAAGUGGGAAACGAUGUGGGAAGGCCCAGACAGCCAGGAUGUUGGCUUAGAAGCAGCCAUCAUUUAAAGAAAGCGUAAUAGCUCACUGGUCGAGUCGGCCUGCGCGGAAGAUGUAACGGGGCUAAACCAUGCACCGAAGCUGCGGCAGCGACGCUUAUGCGUUGUUGGGUAGGGGAGCGUUCUGUAAGCCUGUGAAGGUGUACUGUGAGGUAUGCUGGAGGUAUCAGAAGUGCGAAUGCUGACAUAAGUAACGAUAAAGCGGGUGAAAAGCCCGCUCGCCGGAAGACCAAGGGUUCCUGUCCAACGUUAAUCGGGGCAGGGUGAGUCGACCCCUAAGGCGAGGCCGAAAGGCGUAGUCGAUGGGAAACAGGUUAAUAUUCCUGUACUUGGUGUUACUGCGAAGGGGGGACGGAGAAGGCUAUGUUGGCCGGGCGACGGUUGUCCCGGUUUAAGCGUGUAGGCUGGUUUUCCAGGCAAAUCCGGAAAAUCAAGGCUGAGGCGUGAUGACGAGGCACUACGGUGCUGAAGCAACAAAUGCCCUGCUUCCAGGAAAAGCCUCUAAGCAUCAGGUAACAUCAAAUCGUACCCCAAACCGACACAGGUGGUCAGGUAGAGAAUACCAAGGCGCUUGAGAGAACUCGGGUGAAGGAACUAGGCAAAAUGGUGCCGUAACUUCGGGAGAAGGCACGCUGAUAUGUAGGUGAAGCGACUUGCUCGUGGAGCUGAAAUCAGUCGAAGAUACCAGCUGGCUGCAACUGUUUAUUAAAAACACAGCACUGUGCAAACACGAAAGUGGACGUAUACGGUGUGACGCCUGCCCGGUGCCGGAAGGUUAAUUGAUGGGGUUAGCGGUAACGCGAAGCUCUUGAUCGAAGCCCCGGUAAACGGCGGCCGUAACUAUAACGGUCCUAAGGUAGCGAAAUUCCUUGUCGGGUAAGUUCCGACCUGCACGAAUGGCGUAAUGAUGGCCAGGCUGUCUCCACCCGAGACUCAGUGAAAUUGAACUCGCUGUGAAGAUGCAGUGUACCCGCGGCAAGACGGAAAGACCCCGUGAACCUUUACUAUAGCUUGACACUGAACAUUGAGCCUUGAUGUGUAGGAUAGGUGGGAGGCUUUGAAGUGUGGACGCCAGUCUGCAUGGAGCCGGCCUUGAAAUACCACCCUUUAAUGUUUGAUGUUCUAACGUUGGCCCCUGAUCGGGGUUGCGGACAGUGUCUGGUGGGUAGUUUGACUGGGGCGGUCUCCUCCUAAAGAGUAACGGAGGAGCACGAAGGUUGGCUAAUCCUGGUCGGACAUCAGGAGGUUAGUGCAAUGGCAUAAGCCAGCUUGACUGCGAGCGUGACGGCGCGAGCAGGUGCGAAAGCAGGUCAUAGUGAUCCGGUGGUUCUGAAUGGAAGGGCCAUCGCUCAACGGAUAAAAGGUACUCCGGGAUAACAGGCUGAUACCGCCCAAGAGUUCAUAUCGACGGCGGUGUUUGGCACCUCGAUGUCGGCUCAUCACAUCCUGGGGCUGAAGUAGGUCCCAAGGGUAUGGCUGUUCGCCAUUUAAAGUGGUACGCGAGCUGGGUUUAGAACGUCGUGAGACAGUUCGGUCCCUAUCUGCCGUGGGCGCUGGAGAACUGAGGGGGGCUGCUCCUAGUACGAGAGGACCGGAGUGGACGCAUCACUGGUGUUCGGGUUGUCAUGCCAAUGGCACUGCCCGGUAGCUAAAUGCGGAAGAGAUAAGUGCUGAAAGCAUCUAAGCACGAAACUUGCCCCGAGAUGAGUUCUCCCUGAGACUUUAAGUCUCCUGAAGGAACGUUGAAGACGACGACGUUGAUAGGCCGGGUGUGUAAGCGCAGCGAUGCGUUGAGCUAACCGGUACUAAUGAACCGUGAGGCUUAACCUUACAACGCCGAAGGUGUUU
Molecule: ribosomal RNA, 2930 nt
Filed under: Escherichia coli APEC O2-211
Lineage: Bacteria; Pseudomonadati; Pseudomonadota; Gammaproteobacteria; Enterobacterales; Enterobacteriaceae
Description: bacterial LSU rRNA
Rfam family: Bacterial large subunit ribosomal RNA
Source: RNAcentral